Long non-coding RNA from Felis catus (domestic cat), 8361 nucleotides. RefSeq lists it as uncharacterized. NCBI's taxonomy places the organism in Eukaryota, Metazoa, Chordata, Mammalia, Carnivora, Felidae. The record is from RefSeq and is a predicted model, not a curated record. The transcript is spliced from 3 exons.
CUUGAACUCACAAGCUGUGAGAUCUUGACCUGAGCUGAAGUCGAACGCUCAACCGACUGAGCCACCCAGGUGCCCCUCCAACCAUUUUUCAAUAGCUGCUCUGCUGUACUGACAUUGUGAGCAGCUCCAAUGAUGCAACAUGAAAUAAAUUGGGAAAUUAACAAUGUUAAAUAAUUGUGGUACAUCAGGAAAUUGGGAUUCUAGAAUGUGAACCUUAGAGCUAGGUAAUUUGAACUCAUUAAUCUGCCCCACCCCCCUGUUCUCCCUCUACCUGCCUGUUUUGAACUUGUAUAAAAAUCAGUGAAGCCAAGUUCUUAAAAUUGUAUAAAAACCAGUGAUCUGGUGAAUUGCUCCAUCUGUACAGGUCACUGAAAGCCUAGGACUUUAGCAUGUAUCAGUGAAGAAGGAGGGCUGUAACAGGGAGCUAUGUCCACCAACAGGGAGCUGUGUCCACCUGCUCUAUCAUAUGUCUUUGAGAUCAUAUGCCUCCUUCGCAUUACUCUAGCCUGUGUGGGAGUCAAAAUGAUGUGUCCUGAGCUGAGUGCAAGUCAUCAUUCUUGCCAAUACUUAAUACGAGGCCAAUCCUUUAUAUUCUGGCUUCAUCAAACCCUUGUCCGUUCUUGCAACACAGCAAACAUUACUACCUCUGAGCUUUACACUUGCUAUAGGCUCUAUCAUAAGUGUUCUUGCUUCAAAUAGUCUUAUGUUUCAUUAUUUCCUAUUUAUUCAGGUCUCUGCUUAAAUGUUAUCUUUACAGAAAUGUUUUCCCCGGAUACUGAAGAAACUGUCCCUGUCACCCUGUUAUGUCCUAACUCUGAUAUAUUUUCUAACAUAAUACAUUAAUAUGUUACUUGGUUACUUGGUUAGUAGCUGACUACUAAACUCCAUGCCUUGUUUUUCUCAAUGUGGUGUCUCAGUUCUUAAAUAGUUCUUAGUAGGUAUCAAUUCUGAAAAAAAAAUUUUGUUUAAUAAAUCGUAAGUUAUUUAAAUAUAAACCCAACAUAACUCAGUCUUUUAGUUCCUUGCACUUACAAGGUCCAAUGAUCUUUAUAACUCCUGUAGUUUGUUAUUACUCCGGAAAUUGUUUUUAUGCUGUGAACAUCCAUAGACUUGAAUUCUUAAACACCAGUAUCUGACUACAGCUUACCUUUCUACUUCCCUUAUUCUUUUACUCCUGACAGUUCUGAUCUGCUACUUCAUCCAGUCCUUAAACUUCUUCAUAUCCUUCCCCAUUUUUUCUUGGCUAAUAUAUCAUCUCAAUCCACCUCCUUUUUAUUCAGUCCCUUCUUUUUUAUUGUUAUUUUAGCAUCUUAAGCCAUGGUUGUUUACUUGAAUUUCUCAUUAUUUCUCUCAACUCCCUCAUUAUGUCAACCUUCACAUUAUAUUUUUAUCUGAAAUUCCAACCUCAACUAAAUUCUGCAAUUAUAUUUCUCCUCUUCAGCAAAGUGGUUCUCAAGCACAACAGGAGAACCAUCUGAGCAGUUGAGUUUCACUCAAAUGGAUAUUAAAUUCCCAUCUCAAUCAAGCCAUCACCAUGACCCAGAAAGCCUUUUUUUUACCUUGUUCAUUUCCUUCCAUUACCAUUAGCACAGACUAACGUCAAGUUAUACUUCCACCUCACCUUGGAUUAUUUCAUUUGUUUUUUUCACAAAGGAUAAAUAAGAGACCACAGCUUGUAAUUCAUAAUCGUGUUGUCCUCAAAUCGCCUAAUCAUCUUGAUAUAUUACCUUCUGUUCCUUUCCCUUCAAUCUCAGAGACAGGGAUGCUCCCAGUCUCUCCUUUUUAUUUUGGUUUUCAUUUUAAGCCAUAAUUGUCUAAUUUUGACCCUUUCUAUUUUCGUUUCCCUAAUCCCCCCUCUUUUAACUGUAUAAGUCCCCAAAUCACUAGUUCCUUCCCAUCUGCUUACACUUCCACCAAAUACCAUAACUUGAUGAAAUCUUUUCUGACUUUACCUGGGUAGUUUAUCUUUGUGCCGCCAUGCAGAAAUUAUAUACUCCUACACCAAAGCAUGAUGAACAGGCUGUAUAGGCUCACUCAUGUAAAUGAGUAGCUCAAUUGAAAUAUCCUCUCAUUGAUUUGCAAAGCUUUUCUGCUCUAUAAAAUGGAUUACAAUUAGAGGAACUGUGUCUCUCUAUAUGAAUUCUCUCAACGUACCAUGAAAGACCUCAAGAAAGAGUUUUGCUCAUUGUGAGUGCCAUUUUCCAGAUACGUUGCUGGAAUAAUUCCUUAAAAACUGAAUAAAGCAUAAGAAAAAAUAAAUAAGUACAUUGUCUAUAUCUCAAGGACAGCUGAGAUUGGCUCCCAACAACAGAAAUCCCGUAUCCAUCUUUUACCUUUAGGUUAAUGUUUAUAAAAAUGGUUUCUUGUAAUAGUAUAUCCUCAACAAUGUUUUAACAUCCAAAAUAUAAAUAUAGAGACUUUCUCCUAAGAUAACAGAAUAAAAAAAUCAUCAUUCAUACGGAACAUGAUGUAGUGGUCAAUCAAUUAAAAGUGAUAUAUCUAGUUAGAGGCCACAAAAGGAUCAUCAUAAAAGUUUUUGUUCCUUUGCACCUUACUUCUGACUGAGCACCACUCUGAGUGCAUCACCUAGCCCUAAUACCAUAAAUCAUGGGAAUUCUCUUCCCCUUUAACUGCUCUCAAAACUCAAAAGUAAAUUUCUCAGCACUUAAUAGUUUAAAAUGAAAAGAUGUGCUAAUUUUUAACCCAAAUAUAUUUGUUUCAAUAGGACUAGUGUCAUGAGUGCCAAUUUGAUGCUUUAGGCUUUGAAAAUGCUUUCUCUUCCAUUUCUGUCUCAUUGUCUUUCUUGGUUCUGUGGUCAAACAUUAGGUGAUAAUAGGAAAGGAGAUUAUGAGCUAGUAUUCUGUUUGUGAGGUCACAUCUAUUUCUUCACCCUGGUAAUUCUACCAGAUGUAUGUUUCUUCAGAAUUAUACCUGCCUUCAAAGUGGUCAUCAUCCAUCCCUAUACACUGAAGCUCUCCGUUCCCAUGUCUGGUCCAGUUUUGUGUCUUGGCAGCAUUUCUUUUCUGUUCUUUUGCACAUACACAAUGAGACUGAAAAGAGUCAUUGGUUUGAUUGUUGGAAGUGAGGAAAGUCUGGGAAAUGUUGCUGUCAACAGUCAAUAUGAAUAACAUAUGAUACUUAUAAUCAAGGCUUUCUAAUACUUUGGCAGACCUGUCAAUCAGAAAUAUAACUUAAGGCCAAACACUGCUGAAUGUUUGAAUAAUAUAAAAAAUAGGUUUUUCUGCACAUAGAAAAAAAUGUAUUGUGACUUCAGUCACUUAGAAAUUGAUUUCUUUCACACACACACACACACACACACACACACACACACACGUCUGAAUAAAGAUAGUUCAAGACUAGUAAAAUAGAGCCACAACCAUCAGUGACCCAAGCUCCUUCUAUCUCUGUUCUAUCAUUUUACCUGGCACCUUCAUCCUAGAUUUCCAGAUGGUUUAAGAUCCUUAUGGAGCUCCAGCCAUCAUAUCUGAGUCCCAGGAAGAGGAAGAAAGAAAGGCCAAAGAUAUUUCCCCCAAUUUGAAACUAAUAUGGACAAGUUUUUAAAGUAGUCAAGAAAUAUUUUAUAUUGUAAUUUUAUGGUUAUUGUAGCAAAUCUAAACAAAGUUAACUUCUUUACAAUAGGAUAAUUUAAAGAUCAUCAUUUCUAUUUAUGGAUUAUUCAGAAAGAUCUGUGUGUGUAACAGUAGCCACCGUGUAGGUUUAUAUUUUCUGUAAUAUAGUAUCAUUUGUUUUUAACACAUGAUCUAGCAAUGCUAUUUCCCUAAGCAUUCCAGCAUCCUGUGUGUAGAUUAAUAGUGAAAACUUGAAGAACUAGUGAGCUAUAGCUAUAUAAUUUCAUGUUAAAUUUAAUGAUGCAUAAAACCACCUAAGGUCUCAGCCUUUUCAUAUUUAGGAAAAUUUAAAUGUGUUGUGAUUCUGAAUUAAUGAAAUGUAAUUAAAAUGUUCUGAGACAUGCCCUAGACACAUUAGCUUAUAUCUUAAGUGACUUGUCAUACAUUUAGGAACUGUUUCUAAAGGAGUAUAGCAACUACCUCUGCAUAUUAAUUUAGGCUCUAGAAUUCAAAGUUUAAGUUUCACUGAAAAUAAGCAAAUCAAACAUAGAUAAACAAGAAUUUCAAUUAAAAUGGAAUAUAUAUUCUGCUUAACUGGAAACUGUCACUCAAAUUCUUAGCAUUUUGGAUCUUAUAAGGACUUAUAACUGUCCAGAACUCAUUAGACUUUUGCACAUAGUUAAAGUUUUGAAACCAACAUUGCAUUCUGGUAUAAAUGUAUUUGGGAGGAAAAAUUCUAGGUUUGUCUCCCAGAUAAACGCCAGUAAAAAUUAUUCUGUGAAGUCUCUUGAGAAUCCAUGUGUGUGAAACAUUCAUGAACUUCAUCAAUGGUGCAGUGGACAUGUAUAUUAAGAAGAAAUAUGUUGGGAUUUUCUUUAAGUUUCAUAAUAUAAAUUUAUCACUUAGUGAUCUAAAUUUUGAAUAUAAUCUUAUUAUUUGUUAUUCUUUUAACAUUUAUCACAUGUAGUGAAAAACAAACAAGUAAACAUUGAUAACCUUCAAAGUUGGUAAGAUUUUUUUGCAUGACUUACUGUUGAAAUCCAGAAACAAAAAUUAUAACUAGACAUGCAGAAAAUCCUUUGAAGUUCUCUGAAGUAUAACAAUAAAUGAUUUUGUUUAAGUUCAAAACAUUAUUAUUUAAAUGGUCUGUAAUUAAUCUAAUUCAUGACAAUAAUUGUCAAAUGUAUUUCAUAAUAGAAUAGCUGUCACAGCUUAAUUAUUACACUUAGGUAAUACUAUCACCUUCACAUAUUAACUUCAGUGGAAUUAAUGAGGAAAAAAGAUACAGCAAAGCAUAAAUGAUCAAACCAUCAUCGAAUAUCUUUGCUUGAGUACUCUCUCUCAAGAAUUAGUGGCUCCAUAAAUAUGGCUCAUCAGAGCUCUUUAGGAGAAGUGUGUCUGAAAGCUACCCUUCCAUUAUGCAUGUAUCUAGUCUUCUAUUUCUCCUCCUUCUAUUAAGCCUCAGGCCUUUCUUUGCCUUGGUUCUCUAGAUUCUUCCCCAUUGACUGUCACCUGGGCUCCAAACUUUUUCUUGCUCCACAUCAUUUUCUUCAGUUCCUCUGUAAAAUUUUCAAAGAUCUUAAAGAUAAUGGAGCUAAUCUAAUAAACUUAUAGGACAUGUUAAUAAAUUAUAUGUCUUUGAGAUUUUUACUUUAAUGUUGGAAAAUUUACCAUUUAAUGGGAAGCACCAUGCAAGAAAAAUAGGGAAAAAAGAUAAUGGAGGACAAAAAAACUAUUGCAGUCACACUUAGGUUAAACCAUGCAGGCGUUUCCCUAUCUCAUUUGAGUCUUCAGCUGAUCUAGUGAAAAAUUUGGAAUCUACAUCUUCAAAGUUAAUCAACUAAUACCCUAAUAUAGAGAACACAUUUUUCUGAAGUUCUGUGCUUCCCUAUUUUGUUGAUAAUGAUGAAUGAUUUAUGCCAUAUUGUAUAGCUUUAUAGAAAAUAAGGUAAGGCAAAUUACUCUCAGGACUUUGAAUAUUUAUAACUGGACAAAGUAAUGUACACAAUAAGUGACUUUUUAAAUGAUGCAGUAUGUAGAAAGUAUAACUGAAGCUACUUGUUUAGCAAGGCAGGUCUUUCAAGGUUAUCUCUAUAGCCUCUUCCAAAAUUAUCCUAUAUAAUUCAUAAAUCUCAAAAGAUCUGUAGAAUAAGGUAUACCUAUCUACACAAUAGGUACGAAUGCCAUGGCUGAGUCCACCUUAUCUAAGAAGUAAUAAAGGGAUUUUUGUCUCCUAAACAAUAACAAAUACCACUUCUGGUUGGUUGCUUUCUUUUAAAAAAUUCCCAAGAACAUAUACUUUUAUGUAUAAUGAUGCAGCAGGAAGAAGGUGCCAUAUGUCUUAUAAAUAAAUGUGAUAAUGUCGUUAGAACAAAUGAAAUUGAAAGGUACACAUUAUAUUCAGAAUAGCUUUGUCUUAUGUUUAAAUAGCCAGUCCUAGUCUCGGGUUGGGCACUGUUUGUUGACUUGGAAACACUGUGGAUUGCCAAGGCACUUUAAUAGACAUGGUUGUGGCCUUCUAAGUGUGCCUGCUGUGUUCCGGUCAGGAGAUGUCAAUACUUAACAGGCUCGGGGUUUAAGAAAAGGCUUAACCUUAUCACAUGUCAUUACAGUUAGUUAAUUGCUGUGACUUCUGUCCUAGAUUGUGAUCAUUGUUGAUAUUUUCUGUUUAAAAAAUAAAGAAAUGGCUAAUGAAAUAUAUUUUUAUGAGUGGUCAUGAGAAAAAAAAAUAGCUCAAAUCCAGAAGACCAUCAUUUUCUGAAGUUGUACUUAGAAAGGCAGGCUGUAGAAGUGAUUUUCUCAGGCUCCCUUCUGACCAAUUCAUGGAACAACAGUAAUCAAUCACAAUUGUUUUAUAGAAUUGAGUUGCUGGUACCAUGUCACAACAAACUGAUUAAACUCUCCCAGAAGAAAUCAUCAACUUUAUUGGGACUAAUGGUAUCUAAGAUCGAAAAGUAAAGCUCAAGUGUGGAGCUCUCACAUCCCUGAUAUUCUAAAAAAAAUGGCUAACAGUUUACUCUCAAAUCAAACUAUAAACUUCAUAUUUAAAAUAACAGAAGCAUUUGAACAAGGAAGACAAAGAAUUGUGAUGGUUGCUUUUAUGUGUCUACUUGACUGGGAUACAAGAUCGAAAGGAGGCUGGCUAUCAAUAUCCUCAUCACUGAGAACUGUUGUUGAUUAUGUACCUACUUAUGUGAAAAUCAAAUCCAGGUGUUGGAGCCUGUGACACAUAAGGUACAAGCUUGAGCUAAGGAAGUGUCUACUUGAAUUGGGCAUACGUUCAUUCUUACUGAAUAACCAGUUAUGGUUUCCUGUGUGAGAAAAAUUGCCGGGAAGGAUAUUUCAGGAAGUGUGUGUUUUGGGUCCUUAAAUAGUAGAAGUAAGGAUAAAAAGGAUGAAUGGCCCAUUUUAGUUAAAAGUAUCUUCCACGCACAGUAUUUCUCCUUUGAAUACACAAUAUAUAUGGUUCAUAAUUGUUUUGCUUUGUUCUGAGACCAUUAAUAUUAGUGUAAAACAAAUAGAGGGGAAGGAUUACUGUUGUCUAUCAUUACCUAUAAAACUAAAUGUGUAUUUUCUGGUGUUUACAUUAUAUACUUGUUUACAACUUUUUAUUUUUCAUACUGUUAAUUGUGCACAAGGAAACACAGAGCUCUUCGCCCCAGAUCAUGCUGGUUUUGUUUAAUUUAUAUACUUAAUAAACUUUAGAGAAAGACAGUAGUUUUGGCAUUUUCAUAGCCUGACAUCAGUAUUCUAAAAUUUAUAACCAGACAGUUGCUAUGCUUCACUUAUAUGCCAUCUCUGUUCUCUUUCCCUCUGGAAAUAUUUACUGACCUCUUCUUUUAUUCAAACAUUCAUUUUAUAUGUACUUUUGUACAUAGAAAGUUUUAUUGUUCGUAAGAAACUUCUAGAAAAAGUUCUGUUAAAAGUUCUUCUACUGUGACAACUGAAUGUUCUCCUUUAAAAAUAUUAAACUUACAUGUUCAUGGUUACACGGUCACAGGAACAGGGAAGUGAAUAGCUUGUACAUGGCUAAAAUGAAGAAUUAAUUUUGAGAUAUUAUACUACCAAUAAAUGUGUCACACACUAGGAAACCUGGUUACCUGUAGGAAAAAAUACUAAAGUUUUACUACUGUUGCCAUCUGCAUCAUGUAUCAUUUAAAUUUUUGACUAAUUCAGUCAUCUCUACCCCAUGAAUUUUAAUUAGCAACAAGGGAUAUCUUUUCCCUUGGGCAAUGCAACAUGUAGAAAACAGGUAUUUGAACUUCUAAAAAUAAAAUAUUGUCACAUUGUUAGAUCUUAAUCUAGUUAGGUUCCCCUUCUCUUGUAGACUUUUCUGGUGGCAAACUUUAAUGUUAAGAUAUAGUGUCAAUUCAAAUAUAUAGAACAGAGGAAGAAAAAAAAUACCAAAAUUUGUUUAUAAAUGCAAGACACUCUGCUAGCUGGAAAUUUUAGGAAAAACAAUAGCAUUCGUACCUAACAUUUAUAUACUUAUUUCAAUUAGCCAGGUAAGUGCUUUAUAUUUAUUUACUCAUUCACUUCCCACAAUAAUCCUCUGACAUAGGUAUAUUUUUACUUAGGUGUGUUAAACUAUGCCAUAGUAAGUUAAUCACCAAAUCUCAGAUUCUCACACAAGAAGUGUUUAUUUCUGUCUAUAUCCAAAGUGAAUUCUAGGCUGGAAAGGAAGAAAAGUUUCAAGUGUAUGACAUAGUGAUUCAACAAUUCUAUACAUUACUCAGCAUUGAUCAUGACAAGUGCACUUCUUAAUCCCCAUCACCUAUUUCACCCAUCCCCU